ACAGUUGGGGCGGUCAGUAUUCCAAAGCGAGAGGUGAAAUUCUUAGACCUUCGGAAGACUAACAGCUGCGAAAGCGUUCCGCAAGGAUGUUCCCUUUGAUCAAGAACGGAAGUUGGGGGAUCGAAGACGAUCAGAUACCGUCGUAGUCUCAACUAUAAACUAUACCAGCUAGGGAUCGGCCAACGUUAUUUUAUACCGACUUGGUCGGCACCUUAUGAGAAAUCAAAGCAUCUGGGUUCCGGGGGGAGUAUGGUCGCAAGGCUGAAACUUAAAGGAAUUGACGGAAGGGCACCACCAGCCGUGGAGCCUGUGGCUUAAUUUGACUCAACACGGGAAAACUUACCAGGUCAGACAUAGUAAGGAUUGACAGAUUGAUAGCUCUUUCUGGAUUCUGUGGGUGGUGGUGCAUG
This 410-nucleotide ribosomal RNA is filed under the name uncultured marine eukaryote. RNAcentral's name for it is "SSU rRNA". It matches the Rfam family "Eukaryotic small subunit ribosomal RNA", at positions 878 to 1286 of the family's 1831-position model. The record is from RNAcentral.